RNAcentral lists this ribosomal RNA (540 nucleotides) under Penicillium coprophilum. Its description in RNAcentral is "eukaryotic LSU rRNA". The stretch from base 174 to 326 matches the Rfam family "5.8S ribosomal RNA". Lineage: Eukaryota; Fungi; Ascomycota; Eurotiomycetes; Eurotiales; Aspergillaceae. The record is from RNAcentral.
UCGCAGUGGAGCCUUUGGGUCACCUCCCACCCAUGUUUAUUUUACCUUGUUGCUUCGGCGGGCCCGCCUUAACUGGCCGCCGGGGGGCUUACGCCCCCGGGCCCGCGCCCGCCGAAGACACCCUCGAACUCUGUCUGAAGAUUGUAGUCUGAGUGAAAAUAUAAAUUAUUUAAAACUUUCAACAACGGAUCUCUUGGUUCCGGCAUCGAUGAAGAACGCAGCGAAAUGCGAUACGUAAUGUGAAUUGCAAAUUCAGUGAAUCAUCGAGUCUUUGAACGCACAUUGCGCCCCCUGGUAUUCCGGGGGGCAUGCCUGUCCGAGCGUCAUUGCUGCCCUCAAGCCCGGCUUGUGUGUUGGGCCCCGUCCUCCGAUUCCGGGGGACGGGCCCGAAAGGCAGCGGCGGCACCGCGUCCGGUCCUCGAGCGUAUGGGGCUUUGUCACCCGCUCUGUAGGCCCGGCCGGCGCUUGCCGAUCAACCCAAAUUUUUAUCCAGGUUGACCUCGGAUCAGGUAGGGAUACCCGCUGAACUUAAGCAUAUCA